CAGAGCUUUCACGAAUUGGGC
RNAcentral lists this microRNA (21 nucleotides) under Picea abies (Norway spruce). Its description in RNAcentral is "pab-miR11454a". The record is from miRBase by way of RNAcentral. Lineage: Eukaryota; Viridiplantae; Streptophyta; Pinopsida; Pinales; Pinaceae.